UAGGGAAUAUUGGGCAAUGGAUGAGAGUCUGACCCAGCCAUGCCGCGUGCCGGAAGAAGGCCCUCAGGGUUGUAAACGGCUUUUAUCCGGGAAGAAGAGCAGGGAUGCGUCCCUGUGUGACGGUACCGGAUGAAUAAGCACCGGCUAACUCCGUGCCAGCAGCCGCGGUAAUACGGAGGGUGCAAGCGUUGUCCGGAUUUAUUGGGUUUAAAGGGUGCGUAGGUGGCCUGGUAAGUCAGUGGUGAAAUACAGCCGCUCAACGGUUGAGGUGCCAUUGAUACUGCCCGGCUUGAAGCAGACAGAGGCUGCCGGAAUGGAUGGUGUAGCGGUGAAAUGCAUAGAUAUCAUCCAGAACACCGAUUGCGAAGGCAGGUGGCUAUGUCUGACUUGACACUGAGGCACGAAAGCAUGGGGAGCAAACAGG
This 424-nucleotide ribosomal RNA is filed under the name uncultured bacterium. Its description in RNAcentral is "bacterial SSU rRNA". It matches the Rfam family "Bacterial small subunit ribosomal RNA", at positions 355 to 776 of the family's 1533-position model. The record is from RNAcentral.